Molecule: ribosomal RNA, 101 nt
Organism: Cricetulus griseus (Chinese hamster)
Lineage: Eukaryota; Metazoa; Chordata; Mammalia; Rodentia; Cricetidae
Source: Ensembl
GUCUACAGCCAUACCACCCUGAACACAUCCAAUCUCAUCUGAUCUCAGAGGCUAAGCAGUGUCAGGCCUGGUUAGUACUUGGAUGGGAGACAAUGUAGUUU